AAGCUCUUUGUGACGCUAUCUAGAAAUAUCAUAAGAGAAGAAAGAUCGUAGCCUAGUUCGAAUGAAAGGUAGGGCAUAAGGCUAUCCGUGAGUUCACAGGUGUGAUUGCUUAUCCCCUUUUCUUCAUUAAGAUUGGGUGAGUCGUCAUUGACUGGCCUUUCUCUUGUUGUUGUCAGGUGCCUGCAGCUGCAAUUAUUUCUUUAUGCAUCUUUCUCCCAUGCUUUCCGUUGGCCAACAAUCAACA
Molecule: long non-coding RNA, 244 nt
Filed under: Eucalyptus grandis
Lineage: Eukaryota; Viridiplantae; Streptophyta; Magnoliopsida; Myrtales; Myrtaceae
Description: long non-coding RNA (EGRA_LNC006749)
Source: RNAcentral